GGGCCGUUAGCUCAGUUGGUAGAGCACCUGACUUUUAAUCAAGUGCAGUAAAACGGCCCA
RNAcentral lists this transfer RNA (60 nucleotides) under Chloroflexota bacterium. RNAcentral's name for it is "Chloroflexi bacterium (groundwater metagenome) tRNA-Lys". It matches the Rfam family "tRNA". From Rfam's summary of the family: Transfer RNA (tRNA) molecules are approximately 80 nucleotides in length. Their secondary structure includes four short double-helical elements and three loops (D, anti-codon, and T loops). Lineage: Bacteria; Bacillati; Chloroflexota. The record is from RNAcentral.